UCAAACUUGGUCAUUUAGAGGAAGUAAAAGUCGUAACAAGGUUUCCGUAGGUGAACCUGCGGAAGGAUCAUUACAAGGGUUUCAAAUUGUCCGCGGUCCCCCCACUCUUUUGCUGGGGAUCCACGCAAAUUCAACCACGAUCAUCCACCCGUGUGCACGCAUUGAACUAAAAUUUUUUUAUAGUUCUAAAAAAUCUUUCCAAUGUCUCUAGCUGUUUGUCUGAUUUAAAAUAUUUUGUUUUAAAAUAAUACAACUUUCAACAACGGAUCUCUUGGCUCUCGCAUCGAUGAAGAACGCAGC
Molecule: unclassified non-coding RNA, 300 nt
Filed under: uncultured fungus
Lineage: Eukaryota; Fungi
Description: partial contains small subunit ribosomal RNA, internal transcribed spacer 1, and 5.8S ribosomal RNA
Rfam family: Eukaryotic small subunit ribosomal RNA (bases 1-73)
Source: RNAcentral